UACGAAGGGGGCUAGCGUUGCUCGGAAUCACUGGGCGUAAAGCGCACGUAGGCGGUCUUUUAAGUCGGGGGUGAAAUCCUGGAGCUCAACUCCAGAACUGCCUUCGAUACUGGAAGACUUGAGUCCGGGAGAGGUGAGUGGAACUGCGAGUGUAGAGGUGAAAUUCGUAGAUAUUCGCAAGAACACCAGUGGCGAAGGCGGCUCACUGGCCCGGUACUGACGCUGAGGUGCGAAAGCGUGGGGAGCAAACAGG
This 253-nucleotide ribosomal RNA is filed under the name uncultured bacterium. Its description in RNAcentral is "partial 16S ribosomal RNA". It matches the Rfam family "Bacterial small subunit ribosomal RNA", at positions 524 to 776 of the family's 1533-position model. The record is from RNAcentral.